GUCUACGGCCAUGCUACCCUGAACAGUCUCGAUCCCGUCUGAUCUUGGAAGCUAAGCAGGGUCGGGACUGGUUAGUACUUGGAUGGGAGACCACCCAGGAAGACCAGGUGCUGUAGACG
Non-coding RNA from Pteropus alecto (black flying fox), 119 nucleotides. Lineage: Eukaryota; Metazoa; Chordata; Mammalia; Chiroptera; Pteropodidae. The record is from Rfam.